Long non-coding RNA from Gadus macrocephalus (Pacific cod), 641 nucleotides. RefSeq lists it as uncharacterized. Lineage: Eukaryota; Metazoa; Chordata; Actinopteri; Gadiformes; Gadidae. The record is from RefSeq and is a predicted model, not a curated record. The transcript has 3 exons.
UCUUUCAAAUCUCAAUCAGAUGUGUAGCAUGAAAUAUAAGGCUUUUAAUAAUUUAGUCAUCCUAUCUGGAGGCUACAAUUAACAUGCAUCAAUAGGUCAUAUACCUUACUUUGUCUUCAGGUACUGCACUUACGGGGGGAGAUGGCUACAUCUUCACAAUAAUUUACACUGCCAUAGUACACUGCUAAACAGUACUGUAACAUGGAUUUGUAUCAGGCUAUGAAGUCAUUUAAAGCAUAACUUUACUUUUCAGGGGGACAUGCUCUCUAUCAGGAGGUGGUGGUGUGGACAGCUGUUGGAGACCUUUAUGCUUGAAAGCCCUGCAGAACUAGCUGGCUCCUUCUCACCCUCUCCAUCUCCCCAUCUCAGUCACACCUUCCAAUCACUAAGCAGUGAAAGCCCUGCAGGACUAGCUGGCACACCAAGCUCACCCUCUCCAUCUCCCCAUCUCAGCCACACGCUCCAAUCUGGCACAACAGAGGACCGGCCAUUCUUACCACCCGAAGUCCUUCAGCAAAUUGUACAAGAGACGCUGAGACUGGACAUGGCGAUGCUUGGCGUGUUCAACAGGGUUUCAAACACAUUCCGAGAACUAAUCAAGCCUCUCCACCCUUCCAUAUAUAUAAAUGACAGUUUGGCAG